CGGAAUGCUUUACACUGCAAGUCGAACGGCAGCAUGGAGAGCUUGCUCUCUGAUGGCGAGUGGCGAACGGGUGAGUAAUAUAUCGGAACGUGCCUAGUAAUGGGGAAUAACUAGCUGAAAGGUUAGCUAAUGCCGCAUACGACCUACGGGUGAAAGCAGGGGAUCUUCGGACCUUGCGUUAUUAGAGCGGCCGAUAUCUGAUUAGCUUGUUGGUGGGGUAAUGGCCUACCAAGGCGACGAUCAGUAGCUGGUCUGAGAGGACGAUCAGCCACACUGGAACUGAGACACGGUCCAGACUCCUACGGGAGGCAGCAGUGGGGAAUUUUGGACAAUGGGGGAAACCCUGAUCCAGCCAUUCCGCGUGAGUGAAGAAGGCCUUCGGGUUGUAAAGCUCUUUCGCAAGAGAAGAAAACUUGCUAUCUAAUAAAUAGUAAGCAUGACGGAUCUUGACAAGAAGCACCGG
RNAcentral lists this ribosomal RNA (463 nucleotides) under uncultured bacterium. Its description in RNAcentral is "bacterial SSU rRNA". It matches the Rfam family "Bacterial small subunit ribosomal RNA", at positions 40 to 496 of the family's 1533-position model. The record is from RNAcentral.